RNAcentral lists this ribosomal RNA (425 nucleotides) under uncultured bacterium. RNAcentral describes it as "partial 16S ribosomal RNA". It matches the Rfam family "Bacterial small subunit ribosomal RNA", at positions 354 to 796 of the family's 1533-position model. The record is from RNAcentral.
GUGGGGAAUAUUGCACAAUGGGGGAAACCCUGAUGCAGCGACGCCGCGUGAGUGAAGAAGUAUUUCGGUACGUAAAGCUCUAUCAGCAAGGAAGAAAAUGACGGUACUUGACUAAGAAGCCCCGGCUAACUACGUGCCAGCAGCCGCGGUAAUACGUAGGGGGCAAGCGUUAUCCGGAUUUACUAGGUGUAAAGGGAGCGUAGACGGUAUGGUAAGUCAGAUGUGAAAGCCCGGGGCUCAACCCCGGGACUGCAUUUGAAACUAUCAGACUAGAGUGCAGGAGAGGUAAGUGGAAUUCCUAGUGUAGCGGUGAAAUGCGUAGAUAUUAGGAGGAACACCAGUGGCGAAGGCGGCUUACUGGACUGUAACUGACGUUGAGGCUCGAAAGCGUGGGGAGCAAACAGGAUUAGAAACCCUAGUAGUCC